RNAcentral lists this small nucleolar RNA (138 nucleotides) under Mus pahari (shrew mouse). Its description in RNAcentral is "predicted gene, 26418 (MGP_PahariEiJ_G0034652.1)". The record is from RNAcentral. Lineage: Eukaryota; Metazoa; Chordata; Mammalia; Rodentia; Muridae.
ACUGCCCCGUCCUCUGGCAAUCACACAGAUCCAGCAUGUGCAUGGCACACUUUCAUAGGAGAGAGAAAAUGACCUUCCCAAUGCAUAGCAGAACUGCCUCAAAGUGGCUUCUUUGUUGUUCCUAGGAGUUUCACAGCU